UAUUGGACAAUGGGCGAAAGCCUGAUCCAGCAAUGCCGCGUGGAUGAAGAAGGUCUUCGGAUUGUAAAGUCCUUUCGGCGGGGACGAUGAUGACGGUACCCGCAGAAGAAGCCCCGGCUAACUUUGUGCCAGCAGCCGCGGUAAUACGAAGGGGGCUAGCGUUGCUCGGAAUGACUGGGCGUAAAGGGCGCGUAGGCGGUUUGGUUCGUUAGGCGUGAAAUUCCUGGGCUCAACCUGGGGACUGCGUUUAAUACAGCCAGACUUGAGUGUGGAAGAGGGUCGUGGAAUUCCCAGUGUAGAGGUGAAAUUCGUAGAUAUUGGGAAGAACACCGGUGGCGAAGGCGGCGACCUGGUCCAUUACUGACGCUGAGGCGCGAAAGCGUGGGGAGCAAACAGG
This 397-nucleotide ribosomal RNA is filed under the name uncultured bacterium. RNAcentral's name for it is "bacterial SSU rRNA". It matches the Rfam family "Bacterial small subunit ribosomal RNA", at positions 362 to 776 of the family's 1533-position model. The record is from RNAcentral.